GCGCGGGUGGCGAAAUUGGUAGACGCACCAUCUUGAGGGGGUGGCGCCCAACGGGCGUGUGAGUUCGAAUCUCAUCCCGCGCA
This 83-nucleotide transfer RNA is filed under the name Solitalea koreensis. It matches the Rfam family "tRNA". From Rfam's summary of the family: Transfer RNA (tRNA) molecules are approximately 80 nucleotides in length. Their secondary structure includes four short double-helical elements and three loops (D, anti-codon, and T loops). The record is from Rfam by way of RNAcentral. Lineage: Bacteria; Pseudomonadati; Bacteroidota; Sphingobacteriia; Sphingobacteriales; Sphingobacteriaceae. RNAcentral also lists the same sequence under 1 other name.